This 345-nucleotide ribosomal RNA is filed under the name uncultured archaeon. RNAcentral describes it as "bacterial SSU rRNA". It matches the Rfam family "Archaeal small subunit ribosomal RNA", at positions 691 to 1034 of the family's 1478-position model. The record is from RNAcentral.
CCGACGGUGAGGGGUGAAGCCCUGGGGCGCAAACGGGAUUAGAUACCCCGGUAGUCCAGGGUGUAAACGCUGCGGGCUUGGUGUUGGGGGUCCUUUGAGGGCGCCCAGUGCCGGAGAGAAGUUGUUAAGCCUGCUGCUUGGGGGAGUACGUCCGCAAGGAUGAAACUUAAAGGAAUUGGCGGGGGAGCACCGCAACGGGAGGAGCGUGCGGUUCAAUUGGAUUCAACGCCGGACAACUCACCAGGAGCGACGGUUACAUGAAGGCCAGGCUGAUGACCUUGCCUGAUUUUCCGAGAGGUGGUGCAUGGCCGUCGUCAGUUCGUACCGUAAGGCGUUCUCUUAAGU